UACGUGCAAUUAAUGAUUGAACCCAUUUCAGAUGGCAAAGGCUUAACAGCCUUCGGCUUAAAGAGAUGAGAUGCCCAUUAUGAGACACGGAAUCUUCUAUGAGACGACUGGGGAAGACAGCUGCCAUGUUGUGAGCUGCCUUCUAGAGAGACCUGCAUGAGAAGGGUGUCUUCGGCCAACAGUCAGCAAGGACCUGAGGCCCACCAACAGCCCCGUGAGUGAACUUGGAAGCAGAAUCUCCCCCACUGAAGCCUGAAGAUGACUUCAGCCCUGGCCAGCACCUUGACUAUAGUCUUGUCAGAGACCCUGCACCAGGGCGCCCAGCUAAGCUGUGCCCAGAUUCCUAAUCCAUAGAAACUGUCAGAAAAUAAGUGAUUGUUGUUUUAAGCCUCUGUGAUUUGGAAUAAUCUGUUAAGUAGUAACAGAUAAGUAAUACAAGCAGCCAGGGCCUGGCAAUCCUGGCAUACUGAGCAUGACAUGCAGGGCCGUGAGAGACCCAUCCAUAACCAUCUGCCAACAACAGGUAAAGCGACAACCCCAGGUCAGCAAUGCCAUCUCCCCAGAAAAGGGCUGGCAUGCCGCGUGCCUAGUAUGUAGGAAAGAGCCAGAUACUGAGAUUGGAAACUAGAAUUUAGAAGGAAGCCCAUAGCUGGAACUAGCCUUACCAAUCUUAGAGCUAUUUGUGAAAAUUUUUGCUUGCUUGAGGACAUAAUGCAGGGUAGAAAAAAGUGGCUUCUGCUUUGUGCAUGUAGUGAGAAACAAGGUAGAGAGGAAUCCUUUUAGAGUCAAAUGCUGAAAUGCCUGCACUGCCUUCAGUGAACCAGAUUAUCCAGUUGUAUAUUACUCCCUCUGCUUGUUUGCCUUUUGUUCUUCUGGAGCCCUUUGUAAACUUUUGUUUAAAUAUUUUCCCUGGUCUUAUCUGUACUCUAGGGAAUUAUGAGAGUCAAAUGCUUGAGCCACAGAAUUAAAGAGGAAAUAGUGCCCCCUGGAGGCCAGAGUGGCAAUGCUCAGAGACCCAAAGAUGCAGGAGAAGCUGGGAGGAGGCAAGGAGGAUGGCAAGGAUCUUAAGAAAUGCUAGGAAAAUAUGUGAUAUGAUUUUAAAAUCUCCUUGAUUUAAAGCCUUUGAGAAAUUGGCAUGAAAAUUUUGUAACUAUGUGUGGUGAUGGAUGUUAGACUUACUGUGAUCAUUUCAUAAUGUAUACAAAUGUGGAAUUGUUAUACACCUGAAACUAGUAUCAUGUUAUAUGCCAAUUAUAUCUCAAUUAAAAAACUCAUUCUAAAUAACAAAAAAAAAUUUUUUCAAAGAGAAAUUGGUAUGGAAGGUUUUUGUCCUAACACAAUAAAGAGCUUUUUGUUUGUUGUUGUUUUGCAAAGAGAGAGUCAAUUUUUUUUUUUAUUAAAAAUUAUUCCUGGGUCAAACACAACUGAAACUGUGAACUCCAUGAGUGCAGAGACAAUAUCUUUUCAUCUGCAUCCUGGUCAUCAAAUAUAGUGCCUGAUGUACAACAAGUUCUCAAUAAACGUGUGCUGAAUGAAUGAUGAACCAA
This is a long non-coding RNA of Camelus dromedarius (Arabian camel), 1547 nucleotides long. RefSeq lists it as uncharacterized. NCBI's taxonomy places the organism in Eukaryota, Metazoa, Chordata, Mammalia, Artiodactyla, Camelidae. The record is from RefSeq and is a predicted model, not a curated record. The transcript has 3 exons.